Molecule: ribosomal RNA, 200 nt
Filed under: uncultured bacterium
Lineage: Bacteria
Description: partial 16S ribosomal RNA
Rfam family: Bacterial small subunit ribosomal RNA
Source: RNAcentral
AAUCAACGCUGGCGGCGUGCCUAACACAUGCAAGUCGAACGCGGUUACCCCGCAAGGGGUGACUGAGUGGCAAACGGGUGAGUAACGCGUGGGUGACCUACCUUCGAGUGGGGGAUAACGUUUCGAAAGGAACGCUAAUACCGCAUGACAUCCUGCCUUUGGACAGGUGGAGAUCAAAGCCGGGGAUCGCAAGACCUGGC